UACGAAGGGGGCUAGCGUUGCUCGGAAUCACUGGGCGUAAAGCGCACGUAGGCGGAUUGCUAAGUCAGGGGUGAAAUCCUGGAGCUCAACUCCAGAACUGCCUUUGAUACUGGCGGUCUUGAGUCCGGGAGAGGUGAGUGGAACUGCGAGUGUAGAGGUGAAAUUCGUAGAUAUUCGCAAGAACACCAGUGGCGAAGGCGGCUCGCUGGCCCGGUACUGACGCUGAGGUGCGAAAGCGUGGGGAGCGAACAGG
RNAcentral lists this ribosomal RNA (253 nucleotides) under uncultured bacterium. Its description in RNAcentral is "partial 16S ribosomal RNA". It matches the Rfam family "Bacterial small subunit ribosomal RNA", at positions 524 to 776 of the family's 1533-position model. The record is from RNAcentral.